Molecule: ribosomal RNA, 207 nt
Filed under: uncultured bacterium
Lineage: Bacteria
Description: partial 16S ribosomal RNA
Rfam family: Bacterial small subunit ribosomal RNA
Source: RNAcentral
CGCGUAGGCGGUUUGGCAAGUCGGAUGUGAAAGCCCAGGGCUCAACCUUGGAAUUGCAUUCGAUACUGCUUAACUAGAGUAUGGUAGAGGGAAGUGGAAUUUCCGGUGUAGUGGUGAAAUGCGUAGAUAUCGGAAGGAACACCAGUGGCGAAGGCGACUUCCUGGGCCAAUACUGACACUGAGGUGCGAAAGCGUGGGGAGCAAACA